This is a small nucleolar RNA of Arabidopsis thaliana (thale cress), 151 nucleotides long. The record is from RefSeq. Lineage: Eukaryota; Viridiplantae; Streptophyta; Magnoliopsida; Brassicales; Brassicaceae.
UUGCUGGUUAAGCGGUGUCUUGAUGCGUAGUCAUUUAUGUCUGCGCUUUAUGAUAGAAUACUUCCUGAACCCAGCUACAUAGAUUCAUUCUUCUGACUGAACAGCUCUUUAUCUUUUGUGGACUCUGUUCCUGUCUAAGAUUGAUACAUUU